GCCAGUGUGGUGUAGCGGUUUCAGUUUGCACAAGAACUCUGUAGACCAGGGUUCGAAUCCCUGCUCAGCCA
Non-coding RNA from Phrynosoma platyrhinos (Desert horned lizard), 71 nucleotides. The record is from the annotation of a GenBank genome assembly. NCBI's taxonomy places the organism in Eukaryota, Metazoa, Chordata, Lepidosauria, Squamata, Phrynosomatidae.